CCUACGGGAGGCAGCAGUGAGGAAUAUUGGUCAAUGGGCGCGAGCCUGAACCAGCCAAGUAGCGUGAAGGAUGACUGCACUACGGGUUGUAAACUUCUUUUAUAAAGGAAUAAAGUGAGGCACUAGUGCCUUUUUGUAUGUACUUUAUGAAUAAGGAUCGGCUAACUCCGUGCCAGCAGCCGCGGUAAUACGGAGGAUCCGAGCGUUAUCCGGAUUUAUAGGGUUUAAAGGGGGCGCAGAUGGGUUGUUAAGUCAGUUGUGAAAGUGUGCGGCUCAACCGUAAAAUUGCAAUUGAUACUGGCAGUCUUGAGUACAGUGGAGGUAGGCGGAAUUCGUGGUGUAGCGGUGAAAUGCUUAGAUAUCACGCAGAACUCCGAUUGCGAAGGCAGCUUACUAAACUGCCACUGACAUUGAUGCUCGAAAGUGUGGGUAUCAAACAGGAUUAGAUACCCGAGUAGUC
Molecule: ribosomal RNA, 460 nt
Filed under: uncultured bacterium
Lineage: Bacteria
Description: partial 16S ribosomal RNA
Rfam family: Bacterial small subunit ribosomal RNA
Source: RNAcentral